UAGAAAUUGGUAAAAAUCUGCGGAUCUAUUUUUGUUGUCGAUUCAGGUGGUGGUGGUGGAAGGGUGAUGGAUAUGGAAGAAGUUUUUGGCUUUGUUCUACCGUUUCUGACAAAAAGACAGAAUCGAGCUAUACCUUUACAAUUACCUGGGGAGAUGGUGGAUGUGAGGAUGACGGAGUCAUUGAAGUGAGGAUUGAGAUGGGGACGGUGGUUGAGGUGAGAGUGGAUUUAGUGGUGAUAGAUAUAAUUGAGGUGGACAUGGACAUAAUGGUUAUGAAGGAGACGGACGGCAUGGAGGUGGAGAUAAUGAUGACGGAGGUGACGAUGGAGAUGGGGUCAAAGAAGAUGGAGUUGGAG
This 356-nucleotide long non-coding RNA is filed under the name Daucus carota (carrot). Its description in RNAcentral is "long non-coding RNA (DCAR_LNC002883)". The record is from RNAcentral. Lineage: Eukaryota; Viridiplantae; Streptophyta; Magnoliopsida; Apiales; Apiaceae.